GACCAAUGCGCCAUCCUGCCCAGUGGUUCUUUGAUGCCUGUCGAUAGCGCUGCGUGAUGAUGUCAUACGGCAGAGAGCAUGGGAGGGUGGAAUGAUCAAAGGAAAGAGGAGGGAUGAAGACACGGGAGAGAAUAUCCAAGACAACAACGGGACAAAGAUGGCGACUGCUCCUGCAAUGGGACGUCCACUGGCGUCCAGACUGCCGCAUCGCCUCUCGGAACCCCGGAUGACCAUCGUGCGCUAUCACCCCCUUUCCUUUGACGGGAUGACCACCAGCAUGACGCGCUGGAACCGCCGAGCCGACCUCCGCCACCACCACCACCGCUACGCUAGCACGAUUACCAUGGAAGAACAGUUCAUCCAGGACUGGACCGGGUCAAGAACGCCUGAACCGCCAGAUCUCACAUUGGUCAGCUAGCCUGAAUAGCAUGAGGCAUGCCACUGGCUGCAGAGUGACAGGAGGCAGGAUGUUCGGGUUGCGGCGCGGUGAUUUCUCUCCAUCCUGUCAGUCAUUCCGCCGGCUGAGGUCUCCGUUGAACUCCUCACCUGUCCGCAGGUAAGUAAUUCCUUCAAGUCUUCGCGACAGUUGCUCAGUGACAUUGUGGUUUUGAUUAACAAUGAUCUAACAGGCACAGAGGCUGAAGAGCAGCAAAGUAAAAUCAGCCUGAUGUGUAUUCUGUAAUGCUGAUUCUGUGUCGGACUAGUUGCAUUAUUUAAUUGUAUUAUAUUCUGGAUCCUAAUCAAAAUUCGGCAAGCUCUUACAAACCACUCUGUUUAUUCAUUCAUUGUUGUAAUGUAUUUUAUUGUUUAUGACAUUUUUUUCCCCUGUAGCACAAGCCUGUAAUUACCGCAUAUUGCCGCUAGUGGCGCUGUUGGGCGUUUCGUUAUCGUGACAUAGAACUGGUACAAAUAGAAUCAGAAAAUGACUUUGGUUUACGUUCUAAAAUAAACAAAAAACAACGCAAACAAACCUCAAACAAAAAAAAAUCCCCAAACUCAAACAUUUGGGCAAUAUUCCAUUCACAAUACGUUUAUUUACUGCAACCAUGCGUUCAAUGUGCUUCCGACUGUACAUAUAAAUAAACAUGCAUUUUAUUUUUCUAUUAGCGUGCAAGUGUUUAAAUAUUCAAACGUAUCUUUAAAGUUGGCAAUGAAUCUAAAAAAACCAUUGCAACAGAAAUGUGUGUAACUAAUUAUAUAGCAGAGUUACUUGGCAUUAAAAAUAAUGUAUCUGAAUGUUACGUUUGGAUGUACAGUUGGGACACUUAUUGCUCGUUAGUUAUAUAAGAAUGCUAAAACUUAACGUGUUUUCAUUGGGCAAACUUUAAAAAGUUGACUUGUUGCUUUAUAAAACGAACGCGUUUGAUUUAUUGGCAAGGAUUGAACACGUCGGACCGAUUCUCUUUGUUUUGGUUCUACGCAUCAUACAGACGUCGGCGUGCGCGCACGUACUCUGUCUCUGUAUUAUUGCCCAGAAACCAGCCACCAUGGGGAGUUAGGGGG
This 1503-nucleotide long non-coding RNA is filed under the name Takifugu rubripes (torafugu). Its description in RNAcentral is "lncRNA (ENSTRUG00000031727.1)". The record is from RNAcentral. Lineage: Eukaryota; Metazoa; Chordata; Actinopteri; Tetraodontiformes; Tetraodontidae.